RNAcentral lists this ribosomal RNA (492 nucleotides) under uncultured bacterium. RNAcentral describes it as "partial 16S ribosomal RNA". It matches the Rfam family "Bacterial small subunit ribosomal RNA", at positions 29 to 507 of the family's 1533-position model. The record is from RNAcentral.
AGUGAACGCUGGCGGUAGGCCUAACACAUGCAAGUCGAACGGCAGCACAGUAAGAGCUUGCUCUUACGGGUGGCGAGUGGCGGACGGGUGAGGAAUACAUCGGAAUCUACUUUUUCGUGGGGGAUAACGUAGGGACACUUACGCUAAUACCGCAUACGACCUACGGGUGAAAGCGGGGGAUCUUCGGACCUUGCGCGAUUGAAUGAGCCGAUGUCGGAUUAGCUAGUUGGCGGGGUAAAGGCCCACCAAGGCGACGAUCCGUAGCUGGUCUGAGAGGAUGAUCAGCCACACUGGAACUGAGACACGGUCCAGACUCCUACGGGAGGCAGCAGUGGGGAAUAUUGGACAAAGGGCGCAAGCCUGAUCCAGCCAUACCGCGUGUGUGAAGAAGGCCUUCGGGUUGUAAAGCCCUUUUGUUGGGAAAGAAAAGCAGCAGGUUAAUACCCCGCUGUUCUGACGGUACCCAAAGAAUAAGCACCGGCUAACUUCGUG